GACGAGGGGUCCAAGCGUUGUUCGGAAUCAUUGGGCGUAAAGCGGGUGUAGGUGGCUCUUUAAGUCAGGGGUGAAAUCCUGGAGCUCAACUCCAGAACUGCCUUUGAUACUGAGGAUCUUGAGUUCGGGAGAGGUGAGUGGAACUGCGAGUGUAGAGGUGAAAUUCGUAGAUAUUCGCAAGAACACCAGUGGCGAAGGCGGCUCACUGGCCCGAUACUGACGCUGAGGCACGAAAGCGUGGGGAGCAAACAGG
This 253-nucleotide ribosomal RNA is filed under the name uncultured bacterium. RNAcentral describes it as "partial 16S ribosomal RNA". It matches the Rfam family "Bacterial small subunit ribosomal RNA", at positions 524 to 776 of the family's 1533-position model. The record is from RNAcentral.